GGCUUCCGCAGCGGCGUGCAUCCCUUGUGGGUGUACGUGAGGACAUUGUGAAAGGUUCGCUAGGCAGGGGGCAUUGAGUUUGCUACCCACCGCCGUGCUGGUGAAUUGCCUGGGAGGAGUCGUGCCUCGGUGCGGCUCUCUUCUGGGUCGUUCUCAUGUGUAUGAACGUUCAAGGACAAUGACCUAAUGCGGUACGCCCACCACAGUUUGUUGUGAGGUCACCCACAGGCUCAAACUGUCGAUCGUGUGUUCAGUGCGUGGCCUGAAUUGUGUGCCGUUCGUAAUAUAGUGCCACCGUUAUCUGUGUGGCGCUCCGGCAUGCAGUCGCGCGCUGGACCAGGCGACGAAACGAGUAUAUCCUGGUAUGAUCCUCGUGCGACAAUCUGAUUCUGACCGAGUGUACAUCGCUACCGUUUGGCUCUGCCCAUGUGUCGGGCGGAGUCAGGAGGUGCAACCUGAUUGUUUGAUCCUCUGAACGAUGUAACAGUCGAUAAGAUCUCAGUCGAGGUAGCGAA
RNAcentral lists this ribosomal RNA (515 nucleotides) under Eurythenes cf. magellanicus DY077 83 B2. RNAcentral's name for it is "partial large subunit ribosomal RNA". The record is from RNAcentral. Lineage: Eukaryota; Metazoa; Arthropoda; Malacostraca; Amphipoda; Lysianassidae.